Molecule: ribosomal RNA, 1286 nt
Filed under: Bacillus subtilis
Lineage: Bacteria; Bacillati; Bacillota; Bacilli; Caryophanales; Bacillaceae
Description: bacterial SSU rRNA
Rfam family: Bacterial small subunit ribosomal RNA
Source: RNAcentral
GACGGGUGAGUAACACGUGGGUAACCUGCCUGUAAGACUGGGAUAACUCCGGGAAACCGGGGCUAAUACCGGAUGGUUGUUUGAACCGCAUGGUUCAAACAUAAAAGGUGGCUUCGGCUACCACUUACAGAUGGACCCGCGGCGCAUUAGCUAGUUGGUGAGGUAACGGCUCACCAAGGCAACGAUGCGUAGCCGACCUGAGAGGGUGAUCGGCCACACUGGGACUGAGACACGGCCCAGACUCCUACGGGAGGCAGCAGUAGGGAAUCUUCCGCAAUGGACGAAAGUCUGACGGAGCAACGCCGCGUGAGUGAUGAAGGUUUUCGGAUCGUAAAGCUCUGUUGUUAGGGAAGAACAAGUACCGUUCGAAUAGGGCGGUACCUUGACGGUACCUAACCAGAAAGCCACGGCUAACUACGUGCCAGCAGCCGCGGUAAUACGUAGGUGGCAAGCGUUGUCCGGAAUUAUUGGGCGUAAAGGGCUCGCAGGCGGUUUCUUAAGUCUGAUGUGAAAGCCCCCGGCUCAACCGGGGAGGGUCAUUGGAAACUGGGGAACUUGAGUGCAGAAGAGGAGAGUGGAAUUCCACGUGUAGCGGUGAAAUGCGUAGAGAUGUGGAGGAACACCAGUGGCGAAGGCGACUCUCUGGUCUGUAACUGACGCUGAGGAGCGAAAGCGUGGGGAGCGAACAGGAUUAGAUACCCUGGUAGUCCACGCCCGUAAACGAUGAGUGCUAAGUGUUAGGGGGUUUCCGCCCCUUAGUGCUGCAGCUAACGCAUUAAGCACUCCGCCUGGGGAGUACGGUCGCAAGACUGAAACUCAAAGGAAUUGACGGGGGCCCGCACAAGCGGUGGAGCAUGUGGUUUAAUUCGAAGCAACGCGAAGAACCUUACCAGGUCUUGACAUCCUCUGACAAUCCUAGAGAUAGGACGUCCCCUUCGGGGGCAGAGUGACAGGUGGUGCAUGGUUGUCGUCAGCUCGUGUCGUGAGAUGUUGGGUUAAGUCCCGCAACGAGCGCAACCCUUGAUCUUAGUUGCCAGCAUUCAGUUGGGCACUCUAAGGUGACUGCCGGUGACAAACCGGAGGAAGGUGGGGAUGACGUCAAAUCAUCAUGCCCCUUAUGACCUGGGCUACACACGUGCUACAAUGGACAGAACAAAGGGCAGCGAAACCGCGAGGUUAAGCCAAUCCCACAAAUCUGUUCUCAGUUCGGAUCGCAGUCUGCAACUCGACUGCGUGAAGCUGGAAUCGCUAGUAAUCGCGGAUCAGCAUGCCGCGGUGAAUACGUU